RNAcentral lists this ribosomal RNA (462 nucleotides) under Orthogonalys pulchella. Its description in RNAcentral is "partial 16S rRNA". The record is from RNAcentral. Lineage: Eukaryota; Metazoa; Arthropoda; Insecta; Hymenoptera; Trigonalidae.
CUGCUCAAUGAAUUUAUUUUUAAAUAGCUGCAGUAUUUUAACUGUACAAAGGUAGCAUAAUAAAUUGUCCUAUAAUUAAGGAAUUGAAUGAAUGAUUUAAUGAAAAAAUAAUUGUCUCAAUUUUAUUGUUAAAACUUAAUUUUUAAGUUAAAAAGCUUAAAUUAAAUUAAAAGACGAGAAGACCCUAUAGAAUUUUAUAAUUUUAUCAAAAUUUCAUUUUAAUUUUUUAAAUAAUGAAUUUAUAUAUAAAAUUAUUUAAUUGGGAGGAUUCUUAAAUUUAAUAAACUUUAAUUUUUACUAAAAAUAAAUUUAUUAAAAUAAAAUGAUCCAAUUUUAUUGAUUUUUAAAAAAAAUUACCUUAGGGAUAACAGCAUAAUUUUUUUAAAGAGUUCUUAUUAAUAAAAAAGUUUAUGACCUCGAUGUUGAAUUAAGAUAAAAAAUAAAAGAAAAAAUUUAUUAAUU